AUUGGUGAGCGCUGGUUGUGCUCGUCGGUCUCCAAAACCGUACGGCGAGGGUUCGAAUCCCUCCACCUUUGCCA
This 74-nucleotide transfer RNA is filed under the name Streptomyces phage FlowerPower. Its description in RNAcentral is "tRNA-Trp". The stretch from base 4 to 68 matches the Rfam family "tRNA". From Rfam's summary of the family: Transfer RNA (tRNA) molecules are approximately 80 nucleotides in length. Their secondary structure includes four short double-helical elements and three loops (D, anti-codon, and T loops). Lineage: Duplodnaviria; Heunggongvirae; Uroviricota; Caudoviricetes. The record is from RNAcentral. RNAcentral also lists the same sequence under 5 other names.